This 81-nucleotide transfer RNA is filed under the name Araneus ventricosus. RNAcentral describes it as "tRNA-Leu". Lineage: Eukaryota; Metazoa; Arthropoda; Arachnida; Araneae; Araneidae. The record is from RNAcentral.
GUCAGAAUGGCCGAGCGGUCUAAGGCGCCAGAUUUAAGCUCCUGGUUCUCGAAGAGCGUGGAGUUCGAACCCACUUCGACA